UGCAGAGUAGAGAAGCGGUCAUCUCGCAAGCCUCAUAAGCUUGAGAUCGGAGGUUCGAAUCCUUCCUCAGCAA
This 73-nucleotide transfer RNA is filed under the name compost metagenome. RNAcentral describes it as "tRNA-Met". It matches the Rfam family "tRNA". From Rfam's summary of the family: Transfer RNA (tRNA) molecules are approximately 80 nucleotides in length. Their secondary structure includes four short double-helical elements and three loops (D, anti-codon, and T loops). Further hydrogen bonds mediate the characteristic L-shaped molecular structure. tRNAs have two regions of fundamental functional importance: the anti-codon, which is responsible for specific mRNA codon recognition, and the 3' end, to which the tRNAs corresponding amino acid is attached (by aminoacyl-tRNA synthetases). tRNAs cope with the degeneracy of the genetic code in two manners: having more than one tRNA (with a specific anti-codon) for a particular amino acid; and 'wobble' base-pairing, i.e. permitting non-standard base-pairing at the 3rd anti-codon position. The record is from RNAcentral.